UGGACUUCUGGUCUGGCUCCUCCACUUAUCUGGUGUGUGGCUUAAGCUUCAUUUCCUUCAUGCUGAAUCACCAGGGGGUCCCACAUGGCUGUCCCAACUCCAUCAAGCUGGAGUCCGAGAGGUGGCAGGCAGGCGGGCAGGGGCUUAGGAACACGCGAGGCAGCCGCACUCUAAGUGUCUCUCCACCUCUUCUACAAAUGAGGAGCCGUCCGUGCACUGGAAGACGUAUUUCCGCCGCUUGCUGCGGGUGGGCUGGCAGCACUGGGGCCCACAGCCCCCACGACAUUCCAUGAUGGGCACCUUGGAGGCUGUGGCACAUGAUGCAUAACCUUUCUGGCGGCGGAUCACCUCUCGGACUACUUGUCCCAGGCACGGAUUCUCUGCAGAGGGCAUAGAAGUCAGGGCAUUGGUGGUCUAGGUGGCCAGCAGGACCAUGAACAGUUCCCAGGUAUAAAAUGUGGAAAAGUCCUCGAGGCACGGGGUGGACUGCCUGGGAUCCUGGUGGCAGGGAGCAAGACUUCUCAGUGUCCAUGCAGGAGAAAGAUCCCCCAAGCCUCUCAAGACCACAGAAGGCACUAUGUUCCUGAGAAGCCUCCUCUUUCUUGUCAUCUGGAGACACCUAGAGAAGCAGACAAGUAUCUGUGUGGGACUUGCACAUUUUCUGGGACAGAGCAAACCACAAAGCCUCAUUCUGUA
Molecule: long non-coding RNA, 696 nt
Filed under: Pan troglodytes (chimpanzee)
Lineage: Eukaryota; Metazoa; Chordata; Mammalia; Primates; Hominidae
Description: long non-coding RNA NONPTRT013822
Source: RNAcentral